UCGAUAACUGGAAUAUCCUUUUCGUCUAGAACGGCA
Molecule: small RNA, 36 nt
Filed under: Acididesulfobacillus acetoxydans
Lineage: Bacteria; Bacillati; Bacillota; Clostridia; Eubacteriales; Peptococcaceae
Description: CRISPR spacer
Source: RNAcentral